UGUCUGGAUGGUGCAGUGGUCAGCACAUCUGCCUAGUAAGCAGGAGACCUGGGUUUGAAUCCCAAUCCAGCAG
This 73-nucleotide transfer RNA is filed under the name Schistocerca americana (American grasshopper). Its description in RNAcentral is "tRNA-Thr". It matches the Rfam family "tRNA". From Rfam's summary of the family: Transfer RNA (tRNA) molecules are approximately 80 nucleotides in length. Their secondary structure includes four short double-helical elements and three loops (D, anti-codon, and T loops). Lineage: Eukaryota; Metazoa; Arthropoda; Insecta; Orthoptera; Acrididae. The record is from RNAcentral. RNAcentral also lists the same sequence under 1 other name.